This is a non-coding RNA of Hysterangium stoloniferum, 93 nucleotides long. Lineage: Eukaryota; Fungi; Basidiomycota; Agaricomycetes; Hysterangiales; Hysterangiaceae. The record is from the annotation of a GenBank genome assembly.
GCCUUGUUAGCUCAAUGGUAGAGUGUAAGGCUCUUACAGUCCCUCUGACCGGGUAAGAGUCUUAAGGCGCGGGUUCGAUUCCCGUAUGAGGCA